RNAcentral lists this ribosomal RNA (945 nucleotides) under Triticum aestivum (bread wheat). Its description in RNAcentral is "partial small subunit ribosomal RNA". The record is from RNAcentral. Lineage: Eukaryota; Viridiplantae; Streptophyta; Magnoliopsida; Poales; Poaceae.
AUGAACUCCCCUUCUGCAUACGGAAUGCAUGGGUUGCUGUCUCCACAGUCGCAGCCACUUCACCUUGGCCAUGCCCAGAAUAAUCUGGGCACUUCCCUGAACGAUUUGGAUGUCAAUAAUGGUAACCUGAUCAGGGGUGCACACAUGUCAACCAUGGUGACUGGUACUUCUGGUAACUCUUUUGCAAACAUUUCAAAUGGUGCACCAUUGGCUCCUACAAAUAGGGCAGUUCAGUCUCUUGAAUCAAACAACAGGCAACACCUUGGUCGGAUAAAUUCGUCUUCGACAGGCUCAUUUAGCUCAUUCGCUAGUGAUUCUCCCCACUUUCCAGAUCUUGGAAGAAGUAGUAACACCUGGCAAACUGCAGUGCCGUCCAACAUUCAGCAACUUGGUCAGAACGGCAGCAUGUCCCAAGCAAGCUUGCAUGGGAAUGGCCCUAGGAUGGAACCUGUCUCAAGCUAUGCACCACCAUCAAAUCAGAUUACAUCUCUGGGAAAUGAUAUGCAGAACCAAGUAGCACCACUAGCUAGCAAUACCCUUCCAAUGGUAUUCAAUCAGGGUGCAGCGCCAUUCACCUUUGGAAACAGCACAAACUUGAGAGAGACGCUCAAUAGCAACCUUGCGUUUAGCAAUUCAGGCAUCAACACUUCAUUGCCAAACCUUCGCAUUGACAAUUCGGUUGUGCCAAGGCAGACUCUGGAUGGCGGGAAUACAGGUGGUGUUCCUCUCUGCAGGAUGGCAAGAUUGAUCAGCAAGCUGUUGGUAAUCAGCUCAAUUACAACAACAAUGAUCUCGUGGGGACAAGUGGGCUGCAAAGGGAGCUCAGUGGUGGUCUGGAUGACAUUGUUGUUGACAUGUUCAAGCCGAUGGCUGCCGAGUUCAACCCAGUCCUGCUGCCGGAGUUUUGCCAGCCGGAAGAGACGAUGCCUUUCGGCAAGCAGCUGA